RNAcentral lists this ribosomal RNA (430 nucleotides) under Pseudomonadota bacterium. Its description in RNAcentral is "Proteobacteria bacterium partial 16S ribosomal RNA". It matches the Rfam family "Bacterial small subunit ribosomal RNA", at positions 355 to 776 of the family's 1533-position model. Lineage: Bacteria; Pseudomonadati; Pseudomonadota. The record is from RNAcentral.
UGGGGAAUAUUGGACAAUGGGGGGAACCCUGAUCCAGCCAUGCCGCGUGUGUGAAGAAGGCCUUAUGGUUGUAAAGCACUUUAAGCGAGGAGGAGGGUACUGGUAUUAAUACUACCAGGUACUGGACGUUACUCGCAGAAUAAGCACCGGCUAACUCUGUGCCAGCAGCCGCGGUAAUACAGAGGGUGCGAGCGUUAAUCGGAUUUACUGGGCGUAAAGCGUGCGUAGGCGGCUAAUUAAGUCAAAUGUGAAAUCCCCGAGCUUAACUUGGGAAUUGCAUUCGAUACUGGUUAGCUAGAGUGUGGGAGAGGAUGGUAGAAUUCCAGGUGUAGCGGUGAAAUGCGUAGAGAUCUGGAGGAAUACCGAUGGCGAAGGCAGCCAUCUGGCCUAACACUGACGCUGAGGUACGAAAGCAUGGGGAGCAAACAGG